Molecule: long non-coding RNA, 1357 nt
Filed under: Homo sapiens (human)
Lineage: Eukaryota; Metazoa; Chordata; Mammalia; Primates; Hominidae
Description: HSALNT0267672
Source: RNAcentral
GUGUUCUUGUAAAAGAGGCUUGAGGGAGCCCAUCUGUCCCUUCUGCCAUGUGAGGACACACAGAAGUCACCAUCUAUAAGAAACAGGCUCCCACCAGACACUGAGUCUGCUGGAGCCUUGAUCUUGAAUUUCCCAACCUCCAGAACUGUGGCCACCAGACUUUCUCUGCUUGUAUCCUCCCAGGACCACAGAACUCAUCGCAUCCCAAGGCAGCCUAUUCCAUCAUGGAUGAGCUCAAAGUGUUUGAAAGUUCUGCUUUAUCAAAACUCUUGAUGGCCUGCUUCCCAUCCUCCAUCCUGGAAGACUGAUCUGAAACCCCAGGAGGAGGUCCUCUGAGCCCUGAGGCAGAGAUCUCUCACCUGGAAGAUGGGUCUAAUGACUGCGCCCCACACACACCAGAGAGGACUGCAGAUAGUGCGGGAUGAGAGGAAGAUCUCUGGCCCUGGAGACAGCAUCAUCAAGCGAAAACGUAUGAGGAAGAAAAUAGCAGAUGAGAAGAAUCAACCAAAUUCCGGAAGCUGGAAGGCAGAUGGAAGAAGGCCCUUGAAUGAUGCCAGCACCUUGAUAUUGGACUUUCCAGCCUCCAGAACCAUGAGCCAAUACAUUUCUGUUCCAUAAAAAUUACCCAGUUCCAGGUAUUCUGCUAUAGCAGCACAAAAUGGACUAAAACAAUGUUGGCACAAGACUCAGUGCUGGGCCUGGCAUGCAACAGGUCCUUGGAGUGGCGUGCUGUGUGGAUAAUGAAUAUUGGGGAAGGCAUCUCUCUCCAGCCCCUCUCAAGCUUUCUGUAGUCACUGGUCCACUCUGUAUUGCUAUGAAGAAGCUCAAGACCAGCCUGUAUCACUCGGGGUCCUGGCAGGAACCAGGUGCCACACUCAAACUGAGUAAUUGAAGAGGGUUUAAUAUGGGAGUUAUUUACAUAGGUGUGGGCUGGUGUAGCUGCCCAUAUGCCCUCAAAAUCACCUCUACAUGGCAAUAGCUACUUACUGCUAACAGAGUCUCUCUCUCAUUGCUGCAAAUAUUUUCUAGCCAUGCAAGAAACUCAGCCGGUCAUGUUGAACAAACUAAGAGUGCCAGGAAGUUAAUGUCCUGGAAGCAUUGCCAGAGGGGAGGGGGCAGUUAGAUUCCCCAGCUUCCUCGCUCCUCUGCUGGGUUAAGCCUGCAACAUAUUCAUCAUCUCCCAGAGUGCUGCCCAGGGAUAGAGCUCCAGGUGCUCAGUGUGGUGACCUGCUCAUGUCAGCUUCUUCCCCUUUCCUGUCUUGUUUCGCACCCACAUCCUUCCCAUGUUUCCUCUUCCCAAAUAAACUACUUGCAUUGAAAUCUUUGUCUCAGGCUCUGCUUCUGGGGAAACCUGAAC